Molecule: ribosomal RNA, 253 nt
Filed under: uncultured bacterium
Lineage: Bacteria
Description: partial 16S ribosomal RNA
Rfam family: Bacterial small subunit ribosomal RNA
Source: RNAcentral
UACAGAGGGGGCAAGCGUUGUUCGGAAUUACUGGGCGUAAAGGGCGCGUAGGCGGCCUUCUAAGUCGAACGUGAAAUCCCUGGGCUCAACCCAGGAACUGCGUCCGAUACUGGGAGGCUUGAAUCCGGGAGAGGGAUGCGGAAUUCCAGGUGUAGCGGUGAAAUGCGUAGAUAUCUGGAGGAACACCGGUGGCGAAGGCGGCAUCCUGGACCGGUAUUGGCGCUGAGGCGCGAAAGCCAGGGGAGCAAACGGG